GAUGCCGGACCUGCCGGCACCAUGGCUGCAGCUGCUCUGCUGCACCUGUGACCUUGGGGCAAAGAGGAAGCGGCUAUUUCUACGCUUAGUGCCCAGAACAGUGGGCACUAAGAAUGGUUUGUAGCCGGACAUUG
Molecule: small nucleolar RNA, 134 nt
Filed under: Sus scrofa (pig)
Lineage: Eukaryota; Metazoa; Chordata; Mammalia; Artiodactyla; Suidae
Description: Small nucleolar RNA SNORA43
Rfam family: Small nucleolar RNA SNORA43
About the family: ACA43 is a member of the H/ACA class of snoRNA that guide the sites of modification of uridines to pseudouridines.
Source: Rfam by way of RNAcentral